This 568-nucleotide ribosomal RNA is filed under the name uncultured bacterium. RNAcentral describes it as "bacterial SSU rRNA". It matches the Rfam family "Bacterial small subunit ribosomal RNA", at positions 338 to 916 of the family's 1533-position model. The record is from RNAcentral.
CCUACGGGAGGCAGCAGUGGGGAAUAUUGCACAAUGGGCGAAAGCCUGAUGCAGCGACGCCGCGUGAGGGAUGACGGCCUUCGGGUUGUAAACCUCCUUCAGCAGGGAAGAAGCGAAAGUGACGGUACCUGCAGAAGAAGCGCCGGCUAACUACGUGCCAGCAGCCGCGGUAAUACGUAGGGCGCAAGCGUUGUCCGGAAUUAUUGGGCGUAAAGAGCUCGUAGGCGGCUUGUCACGUCGGUUGUGAAAGCCCGGGGCUUAACCCCGGGUCUGCAGUCGAUACGGGCAGGCCAGAGUGUGGUAGGGGAGAUCGGAAUUCCUGGUGUAGCGGUGAAAUGCGCAGAUAUCAGGAGGAACACCGGUGGCGAAGGCGGAUCUCUGGGCCAUUACUGACGCUGAGGAGCGAAAGCGUGGGGAGCGAACAGGAUUAGAUACCCUGGUAGUCCACGCCGUAAACGGUGGGAACUAGGUGUUGGCGACAUUCCACGUCGUCGGUGCCGCAGCUAACGCAUUAAGUUCCCCGCCUGGGGAGUACGGCCGCAAGGCUAAAACUCAAAUGAAUUGACGG